GAUGAACGCUGGCGGCGUGCCUAAUACAUGCCAGUCGAGCGAACAGAUGAGGAGCUUGCUCCUCUGACGUUAGCGGCGGACGGGUGAGUAACACGUGGAUAACCUACCUAUAAGACUGGGAUAACUUCGGGAAACCGGAGCUAAUACCGGAUAAUAUAUUGAACCGCAUGGUUCAAUAGUGAAAGACGGUUUUGCUGUCACUUAUAGAUGGAUCCGCGCCGCAUUAGCUAGUUGGUAAGGUAACGGCUUACCAAGGCAACGAUGCGUAGCCGACCUGAGAGGGUGAACGGCCACACUAGAACCGAGACACGGUCCAGACUCCUACGGGAGGCAGCAGUAGGGAAUCUUCCGCAAUGGGCGAAAGCCUGACGGAGCAACGCCGCGUGAGUGAUGAAGGUCUUCGGAUCGUAAAACUCUGUUAUUAGGGAAGAACAAAUGUGUAAGUAACUAUGCACGUCUUGACGGUACCUAAUCAGAAAGCCACGGCUAACUACGUG
This 497-nucleotide ribosomal RNA is filed under the name uncultured bacterium. Its description in RNAcentral is "partial 16S ribosomal RNA". It matches the Rfam family "Bacterial small subunit ribosomal RNA", at positions 28 to 507 of the family's 1533-position model. The record is from RNAcentral.